GACGAACGCUGGCGGCGUGCUUAACACAUGCAAGUCGAACGGAAAGGCCCUGCUUUUGUGGGGUGCUCGAGUGGCGAACGGGUGAGUAACACGUGAGUAACCUGCCCUUGACUUUGGGAUAACUUCAGGAAACUGGGGCUAAUACCGGAUAGGAGCUCCUGCUGCAUGGUGGGGGUUGGAAAGUUUCGGCGGUUGGGGCUGGACUCGCGGCUUAUGAGCUUGUUGGUGGGGUAGUGGCUUACCAAGGCUUUGACGGGUAGCCGGCCUGAGAGGGUGACCGGCCACAUUGGGACUGAGAGACGGACCAGACUCCUACGGGAGGCAGCAGUGGGGAAUAUUGCACAAUGGGCGGAAGCCUGAUGCAGCAACGCCGCGUGCGGGAUGACGGCCUUCGGGUUGUAAACCGCUUUCGCCUGUGACGAAGCGUGAGUGACGGUAAUGGGUAAAGAAGCACCGGCUAACUACGUG
Molecule: ribosomal RNA, 468 nt
Filed under: uncultured bacterium
Lineage: Bacteria
Description: partial 16S ribosomal RNA
Rfam family: Bacterial small subunit ribosomal RNA
Source: RNAcentral